AGCUUUGUGCAGUGGCAGUAUCACAGCCAAUGAGGUUUAUCCGAGGCACGAUUACUGCUCAUUGAAAACUUUUCCCAACACCCCGCCAUGAUGACUUGAAUAUAGUCGGCAUUGGCAAUUUUUGGCAGUCUCUAUGGGGCUGAAUUAAAAAAAGAGA
Molecule: small nuclear RNA, 157 nt
Organism: Callithrix jacchus (white-tufted-ear marmoset)
Lineage: Eukaryota; Metazoa; Chordata; Mammalia; Primates; Cebidae
Gene: U4
Rfam family: U4 spliceosomal RNA
About the family: U4 small nuclear RNA (U4 snRNA) is a component of the major U2-dependent spliceosome. The structure of U4 snRNA from yeast and human has been reported.
Source: Ensembl